GGACAACAACCACCCGAGCCACUGCCUGUUCACCCCGCUACCAUCCAGAACGCGAGAUAAAAAUGUGGGACUCAAAAAGGUGGGGCUCUGCUCCACCUGCCCUGAAUGACGGGGCGCCACUGUAAAAAAAGAAUCACAGGAGAGCUUCACUGGAGAGAAUCACAGGAGAGCAUCACAGGAGAGCACCACUGGAGAGAAUCACAGGAGAGCACCACUGGAGAGAAUCACAGGAGAGCAUCACUGGAGAGAAUCACAGGAGAGCAUCACUGGAGAGAAUCACAGGAGAGCAUCACUGGAGAGAAUCACAGGAGAGCACCACUGUAGAGAAUCACAGGAGAGCAUCACUGGAGAGAAUCACAGGAGAGCAUCACUGAGGACAGGGGAGAAUGACCAUCUACUUCCAAACAUGAUUUGUCCUAUUUGAAUAAACCUAUUUUCCUCCCCCUGA
Long non-coding RNA from Salmo salar (Atlantic salmon), 448 nucleotides. RefSeq lists it as uncharacterized. The record is from RefSeq and is a predicted model, not a curated record. NCBI's taxonomy places the organism in Eukaryota, Metazoa, Chordata, Actinopteri, Salmoniformes, Salmonidae.